This 464-nucleotide ribosomal RNA is filed under the name Haptophyta environmental samples. Its description in RNAcentral is "SSU rRNA". It matches the Rfam family "Eukaryotic small subunit ribosomal RNA", at positions 432 to 900 of the family's 1831-position model. The record is from RNAcentral. Lineage: Eukaryota; Haptophyta.
GCGCGUAAAUUGCCCGAAUCCUGACACAGGGAGGUAGUGACAAGAAAUAACAAUACAGGGCUACUUUAGUCUUGUAAUUGGAAUGAGUACAAUUUACAUCUCUUCACGAGGAUCAAUUGGAGGGCAAGUCUGGUGCCAGCAGCCGCGGUAAUUCCAGCUCCAAUAGCGUAUAUUAAAGUUGUUGCAGUUAAAACGCUCGUAGUCGGAUUUCGGGGCCUGCCUGCCGGUCUGCCGAUGGGUAUGCACUGGCAGGCGCGUCCUUCCUUCCGGAGACUGUCCCUACUCUUAACUGAGCGGGGUCGGGAGACGGAUCGUUUACUUUGAAAAAGUCAGAGUGUUUCAAGCAGGCAGCUCGCUCUUGCAUGGAUUAGCAUGGGAUAAUGAAAUAGGACUUUGGUGCUCUUUUGUUGGUUUCGAACACCGAAGUAAUGAUUAACAGGGACAGUCAGGGGCACUCGUAUUCC